AGUAGUAUAAACAAUUACACUUACCUUCCAAGUAAAAAAUCUUUUUUUAAAGCU
This 54-nucleotide transfer RNA is filed under the name Physella acuta. RNAcentral describes it as "transfert RNA-G(GGA)". The record is from RNAcentral. Lineage: Eukaryota; Metazoa; Mollusca; Gastropoda; Physidae.